RNAcentral lists this ribosomal RNA (447 nucleotides) under uncultured bacterium. RNAcentral's name for it is "bacterial SSU rRNA". It matches the Rfam family "Bacterial small subunit ribosomal RNA", at positions 355 to 825 of the family's 1533-position model. The record is from RNAcentral.
UCGGGAAUUUUGGGCAAUGGGCGAAAGCCUGACCCAGCAACGCCGCGUGAAGGAUGAAGUAUUUCGGUAUGUAAACUUCGAAAGAAUAGGAAGAAUAAAUGACGGUACUAUUUAUAAGGUCCGGCUAACUACGUGCCAGCAGCCGCGGUAAUACGUAGGGUGCAAGCGUUAAUCGGAAUUACUGGGCGUAAAGCGUGCGCAGGCGGUUAUGCAAGACAGAUGUGGAAUCCCCGGGCUCAACCUGGGAACCGCAUUUGUGACUGUAUAGCUAGAGUACGGUAGAGGGGGAUGGAAUUCCGCGUGUAGCAGUGAAAUGCGUAGAUAUGCGGAGGAACACCGAUGGCGAAGGCAAUCCCCUGGACCUGUACUGACGCUCAUGCAUGAAAGCGUGGGGAGCAAACAGGAUUAGAUACCCUUGUAGUCCCUGAGCGGGCUGGCAAGGCGCAU